UUGUAGCAAUACAGCAGCAUACCAGUAAAAAUACAUUUUCUUCUUUUUAGAAAUGUUUGAGAUAUUGGACGCAGACAAGGGUGGAAAGCAUCAGUUUGUCCUUAUCUGAGUGGCUCUGUGCUGCACUGAUAUGAAGAGACCCCCAUGCACAUACAUGGAAUCGGUGACUGGGCAUUGUCCUUAGACAACCUGUUUGCUCAGCAGCAGAAUUAUCUUCUUUUUAAAUAAGUAUAACCCUUAUCAGGAAUAUAAAACAUGACCACUGUAUUGCUUUCAUGUAAAAAAAAAAAUUCUGUAUAUAAAAAACAACGAAUAAAAGUCAAUAAAAAAUGAAUAUGUUAUG
Molecule: long non-coding RNA, 343 nt
Organism: Rana temporaria (common frog)
Lineage: Eukaryota; Metazoa; Chordata; Amphibia; Anura; Ranidae
Exons: 2
Source: RefSeq, a predicted model, not a curated record